GGUUAUAGUACUCAAAUGAAUAGGCAGAGAAGUUCUUUGAGGAUUUAUGAACAUAAUGAUUUCAGGAGUAAUGCUCAUAUUCAUAUCCCUUGUAAUUUCCUUGCAUAUCAGAAACAUUAGCACGGGUACGGGCAUAGUUUUGACCAGUUGAGGAUUUUGAUCCUCUUGAAGGCUUUGGUACACCUGAGGAAUUUGAUCUGGGGUUCUGUUUCUUCACUGGUGGUAUCAUGAGGACAUUCACCUGAAGAUUUUCCAAGCAACUUUUAGGGACCCAGAUUUUCCUCGGG
RNAcentral lists this long non-coding RNA (287 nucleotides) under Hordeum vulgare. RNAcentral's name for it is "long non-coding RNA (HVUL_LNC007177)". Lineage: Eukaryota; Viridiplantae; Streptophyta; Magnoliopsida; Poales; Poaceae. The record is from RNAcentral.